CAACUCUUGCUAAAUUUUAUAUAAAAUUUUAUAUAAAAACAGGCGUUACAUGGCUAUCGUCAGCUCGUGUUGUGAAAUGUUUGGUUAAAUCCUUUAACCCCUAUCGUUAGUUGCUAAUUUAUUAUAAACAAAUAAAAGUACUCUAACGAAAAAAAUAAUGAUAGAUUAAUGGAAGGUGGGGAUGACGUCAAGUCUUCAUGACCCUUAUGAGUUG
RNAcentral lists this non-coding RNA (214 nucleotides) under Phytophthora megakarya. RNAcentral's name for it is "Bacterial small subunit ribosomal RNA". It matches the Rfam family "Bacterial small subunit ribosomal RNA", at positions 975 to 1211 of the family's 1533-position model. The record is from Rfam by way of RNAcentral. Lineage: Eukaryota; Oomycota; Peronosporomycetes; Peronosporales; Peronosporaceae.